UCCUACGGGAGGCAGCAGUGAGGAAUAUUGGACAAUGGGCGCAAGCCUGAUCCAGCCAUGCCGCGUGCAGGAAGACUGCCCUAUGGGUUGUAAACUGCUUUUAUACAGGAAGAAACACCUCUACGUGUAGAGGCUUGACGGUACUGUAAGAAUAAGCAUCGGCUAACUCCGUGCCAGCAGCCGCGGUAAUACGGAGGGGGUUAGCGUUGUUCGGAAUUACUGGGCGUAAAGCGCGCGUAGGCGGAUUAGAAAGUUGGGGGUGAAAUCCCGGGGCUCAACCCCGGAACUGCCUCCAAAACUGCUAGUCUAGAGUUCGAGAGAGGUGAGUGGAAUUCCGAGUGUAGAGGUGAAAUUCGUAGAUAUUCGGAGGAACACCAGUGGCGAAGGCGGCUCACUGGCUCGAUACUGACGCUGAGGUGCGAAAGUGUGGGGAGCAAACAGGAUUAGAUACCCUGGUAGUCCACACCGUAAACGAUGAAUGCCAGUCGUCGGGUAGUAUACUAUUCGGUGACACACCUAACGGAUUAAGCAUUCCGCCUGGGGAGUACGGUCGCAAGAUUAAAACUCAAAGGAAUUGACGGA
This 582-nucleotide ribosomal RNA is filed under the name uncultured bacterium. RNAcentral describes it as "bacterial SSU rRNA". It matches the Rfam family "Bacterial small subunit ribosomal RNA", at positions 337 to 917 of the family's 1533-position model. The record is from RNAcentral.